UACGUAGGGUGCGAGCGUUGUCCGGAAUUAUUGGGCGUAAAGGGCUCGUAGGCGGUCUGUUGCGUCGGGAGUGAAAGCUCAGGCUUAACCCUGAAAUGGCAAUUGAAUACUGUCGGGCUGGAGGUUUGGAGGGGGACUGGAAUUCUUGGUGUAGCAGUGAAAUGCGUAGAUAUCAGGAAGAACACCCGUGGCGAAAGCGGCUCUCUGGAACGGUACUGACGCUGAGACGCGAAAGCGUGAGGAGCGAACAGG
This 252-nucleotide ribosomal RNA is filed under the name uncultured bacterium. RNAcentral's name for it is "partial 16S ribosomal RNA". It matches the Rfam family "Bacterial small subunit ribosomal RNA", at positions 524 to 776 of the family's 1533-position model. The record is from RNAcentral.